GAUAUAUUUUAUAACGAACAUUAGCAAUGUCGGGGAAAAAACUUGUCGGUAAACGUCAAAUUCAAAAAAAGGCACAGAUAUCAGUAAAUAAUUCGGUACAAAACAUAUCGAAUGAUGACUUUUUAGAAGAGGGGACAUCGCAUGAUCCUGCAGCUGUUCUUUUCUUCUCCCCAAACACAAGUUCUUCUCGUGCUUUUUUGAGUGAUGAAUCUGUAACCUCCUCUUCAAUUAAUAACUAUGCUAUGGAUUUUACAAAUGUAGUAUUAACUCCGACAAGAAUGGCUGAAAUUUUUAUUGAUUGUAUUGAUAGUAGUUUGUCAGAAUCAAAUCAAGAUCCAGACAGUGAUUGUAUUGAUAGUAGUUUGUCAGAAUCGAAUCAAGAACCAGAUAUUGAGCCAUUAGUUGUACGCCUUCGAAGAUGGUAUUGUUCUUCGCGUGUUAAUUUGACUCAGCUGAAAUGUUGCUAACUGAACUUAAGCCUGAUCAUCCUGACUUGCCUUCAGAUCCACGGUGUAUAGUGCAAACACCAGUCUAUUUGGAUAUAGAUAUAAAUAUUGAUGGCUUGCCAGUCUCCAAAAGCAGUUCUGUUGAUGUUUGGCCCAUACUAGGUAGAUGUAUUGGAUUAUAUGACCAAAGAAAAAUAGAAGCAGCGAUAAGAAGUAGAAAAAAAAAACCUAACCCAUAGUAGAAACAGCGAUAACAAUUAUACAGAUUCUGAUCAUGAUAAUCAAGUUGUAGCACCAAAAAAGGCCACUGGCAUGGAUAUGGUAAAAAAUCUGGUUUAUAUGGUAGAGAUUAUGAAGGAAACUCAACGUAACCAUGGAAUAUUAUUGGAGGAAGUAGUGCAGCGACUCAGGAAUAAAGGAAUAAUCU
Molecule: long non-coding RNA, 873 nt
Organism: Temnothorax curvispinosus
Lineage: Eukaryota; Metazoa; Arthropoda; Insecta; Hymenoptera; Formicidae
Exons: 3
Source: RefSeq, a predicted model, not a curated record